AUUCCUUAUGACAGUUUAUAGUGCAUUAUCAACCUCCUCUUUAUUGGAGAGUCUUACUUGCUUUGUCCCCCAGGCUGGAGUGCAGUGGCACAAUCUUGGCUCACUGCAACCUCUGCUUCCCCGGUUCAAGUGAUUCUCAUGCCUCAGCCUCCCAAGUAAAUGGGAUUAGAGGUGCACGCCUCCAUGCCAAGCUAAUUUUUGUAUUUUUAGUAGAGACAGGGUUUCACCAUGUUGGCCAGGCUGGUCUC
This 248-nucleotide long non-coding RNA is filed under the name Pan troglodytes (chimpanzee). RNAcentral's name for it is "long non-coding RNA NONPTRT000674". The record is from RNAcentral. Lineage: Eukaryota; Metazoa; Chordata; Mammalia; Primates; Hominidae.